This is a non-coding RNA of Chlorocebus sabaeus (green monkey), 1219 nucleotides long. NCBI's taxonomy places the organism in Eukaryota, Metazoa, Chordata, Mammalia, Primates, Cercopithecidae. The record is from RefSeq and is a predicted model, not a curated record.
UAGAUCACGUUUCGUUAUCUUUAGUGGGAAUCUGCAACGUGACACCGGAUCCGCGCGGCCCCCGCCUCCCUCCCUGCCUCUCUCUGCCUGGCGGAGGGGAGCAGGCGGGCCUCCUCAGCUUAUUUCUGAACAAUGAAGAUUUGUCUGUUCCCCAAGUGUAUUUAUCUAUGUACGGAGGGAGGAAGUUUUCUUCUGGAAGCUGGAAGCUGGAGAGCAGAGCCUCCUACUUCCUUGGUGCGAAAACGCUGCGCUGGCCCAAGAUACAGGGCGACCGCCGCCCCCCACCACCACCACCGCCCACACCUGGACAAACAGAGCCAGCUGUGAGCCUGACUCGCUGCUGAAAACCGUGCCGCCCCGCGCGACUCCCGAAAAUACCAUCUCCGUAUUGUCUCGAGGUCGGGGAAGGGAGAAAGAGAGAAACACACACAGACUGAUGGACCGACCGAGGGUCAAGCGCUGGGAGAGAGCUCAGAUUGGAGGGGAACAGAGCUGGGGCUCUGAAAAAAAAUGUCCACUCUAUUGCCCCAUAUCCCUGGAGGAAGAACCAAAGCGACUCAAAAAUGCACUCCCACGAGAAAAAAAAUGAAGCUAUUUAGAGUCCAAAUGGUAAGGAGGCCCAAUGACAAGGAAAGCAGACAUUUAGGGCUCCUCCCCAUCUCUUCACUUGAAUUCUUACAAUAAACUUAUAAAACUACGUGUUUAUAAAAACUAAGAUAUUGGCUUGGUUUCAUGAUGGUUUUACUCCACUCUCCAAAAAAUCAGGCUUCGUGAAAUUUGAAAUGCAAUUAGAUUUAUCGUUAGCGUGAUUCAUUGACUAUCUGGUUUCCUCAGGUAAACUUGCACUUACAUAUAAAUCGUAGUAAUUUGAAACUUCUCCCUCCCCACUUUGCCUCCCCCACUCCCCCACAUUCUGAUAUUAAUAAUCCCCGGCUGCCCCUCUUUCCGGGUCAUUACGGUACUGCUGGUCUCUAAUCAAUCCUAAUGCGAUGGCAAUUGGAGUCCCUGAUGACUGCGGCUCGGGUUUCUUGUAAUGGCUCUACCACAUUUUCCUGGACCUCCUUCUUUAACCUGAGAUGCCAGGGGGACGAGUCUCUUCUCGGCUGCUGAUUACUUCAAGAUGUGGGGGCUGGUUUGAGCUGAAGGAUAAAGACACGCGCACAGCGUGGCUGCCACAGCAGGCUGGGCGGCUGGCGAGAGCAGACAUCUGCACGCGGGG